Molecule: transfer RNA, 72 nt
Filed under: Muribaculaceae bacterium
Lineage: Bacteria; Pseudomonadati; Bacteroidota; Bacteroidia; Bacteroidales; Muribaculaceae
Also listed under: 1 other name
Description: tRNA-Cys
Rfam family: tRNA
About the family: Transfer RNA (tRNA) molecules are approximately 80 nucleotides in length. Their secondary structure includes four short double-helical elements and three loops (D, anti-codon, and T loops).
Source: RNAcentral
GGUCGCAUGGAUGAGUGGUUUAGUCACUGGUCUGCAAAACCAGGUACAGCGGUUCGAGUCCGCUUGCGACCU